This 212-nucleotide ribosomal RNA is filed under the name Chloropicon laureae. Its description in RNAcentral is "partial Bacterial large subunit ribosomal RNA". It matches the Rfam family "Bacterial large subunit ribosomal RNA", at positions 607 to 820 of the family's 2925-position model. The record is from RNAcentral. Lineage: Eukaryota; Viridiplantae; Chlorophyta; Chloropicophyceae; Chloropicales; Chloropicaceae.
UUUGUAUAAUGGGUCAGCGACUUAUGUUCAGUGGCGAGGUUAACCGUUUAGGGGAGCCGUAGGGAAACCGAGUCUGAAUAGGGCGAUUUAGUCGCUGGGCAUAGACCCGAAACCGGGCGAUCUAUCCAUGAGCAGGUUGAAGGUUGAGUAACAUCAACUGGAGGACCGAACCCACUGUCGUUGAAAAGCCAGGGGAUGACUUGUGGAUCGGA